AUUGAACGCUGGCGGCAGGCCUAACACAUGCAAGUCGAACGGUAACAGGAAGAAGCUUGCUUCUUUGCUGACGAGUGGCGGACGGGUGAGUCAUGUCUGGGAAACUGCCUGAUGGAGGGGGAUAACUACUGGAAACGGUAGCUAAUACCGCAUAACGUCGCAAGACCAAAAAGGGGGACCUUCGGGCCUCUUGCCAUCGGCUUUGCCCAGAUGGGAUUAGCUAGUAGGUGGGGUAACGGCUCACCUAGGCGACGAUCCCUAGCUGGUCUGAGAGGAUGACCAGCCACACUGGAACUGAGACACGGUCCAGACUCCUACGGGAGGCAGCAGUGGGGAAUAUUGCACAAUGGGCGCAAGCCUGAUGCAGCCAUGCCGCGUGUAUGAAGAAGGCCUUCGGGUUGUAAAGUACUUUCAGCGGGGAGGAAGGGAGUAAAGUUAAUACCUUUGCUCAUUGACGUUACCCGCAGAAGAAGCACCGGCUAACUCCGUG
RNAcentral lists this ribosomal RNA (490 nucleotides) under uncultured bacterium. RNAcentral's name for it is "partial 16S ribosomal RNA". It matches the Rfam family "Bacterial small subunit ribosomal RNA", at positions 30 to 507 of the family's 1533-position model. The record is from RNAcentral.